UAAUGGAAAAGGAAGAGAGGCAUCACAUUUUGAUCAAAGCGUAGGCUUCCAUAAAUUUCCGCCGGAUUUGAAGUUGCAAAAAGUUUGGAGGGAAUUCGUUGGCGUAGACGUCUCCAAGUUUUGCUAGCGGGGAAAAUAUAUCUACCCGGAACACUUCUUGCACUCGAGCUGAUCGAGGAAAACGGUACGACGAAACUACUAGACGGAGCAACCAGAGCAAAUACCGAUCCACACAUAACCCAACAGCAGCAACAGGGUACCAUGGUCAUCAUCCAGCAUCAGAACGCGAUGGUAGUGAAUCAACAGUUAGCACAACAGCAAGGUAGCUUGGAAAGGACUUUCUGUCGAAAAAAAACAUAAUGAAAGCGCACAUGUUCAAACGAGGCAAACGUAUGACUCGUUUGGAAAAAGCGCAUGUCAUCUGUUUCAUGGCGUGUAAUCGGGACAACCCUCGAACUAAUCCGGAAAAUGUUACCGUUAAGCUGAUCGAGAGCCAGGUAAUGUCGCAAACCAGUUCAAUAUUGAUCAACCUGACCAAUAAAUCGUACUGAUUUUCGCUCCUUCGCGUAGAAAAUGGUUCUGCAGGCAGAUGACACGUAUACGUUGCGUCUGCCCCAGUCGUUCUUUAUUUUGUUUUCGGAAGAAUUUUGUUUAGUGUUCCGGUGCAUGGUAAAUGAAGCCUCUGAAU
Long non-coding RNA from Topomyia yanbarensis, 688 nucleotides. RefSeq lists it as uncharacterized. Lineage: Eukaryota; Metazoa; Arthropoda; Insecta; Diptera; Culicidae. The record is from RefSeq and is a predicted model, not a curated record. The transcript is spliced from 3 exons.